CCUACGGGAGGCAGCAGUGAGGAAUAUUGGUCAAUGGACGCGAGCCUGAACCAGCCAAGUAGCGUGAAGGAAGACUGCCCUAUGGUUUGUAAACCUCUUUUAUCUGGGAACAAAAUGUUCCACUUGUGGCUUUUCGUAUGUACCAUAUGAACAAGGAUCUGCUAACUCCGUGCCAGCAGCCGCGGGAAUACGGAGGAUCCGAGCGUUAUCCGGAUUUAUUGGGUUUAAAGGGAGCGUAGGUGGAUUGUUAAGUGAGUUGUGAAAUUUUGGGGCUCAACCGUACAAUGGCAGUUGAAACUGGCAGUCUUGAGUACAGUAGAGGUGGGCAGAAUUCGUGGUGUAGCGGUGAAAUGCUUAGAUAUCACGAAGAACUCCGAUUGCGAAGGCAGCUCACUGGACUGCAACUGACGCUGAGGCUCGAAAGUGUGGGUAUCAAACAGGAUUAGAUACCCGAGUAGUC
RNAcentral lists this ribosomal RNA (460 nucleotides) under uncultured bacterium. RNAcentral's name for it is "partial 16S ribosomal RNA". It matches the Rfam family "Bacterial small subunit ribosomal RNA", at positions 338 to 795 of the family's 1533-position model. The record is from RNAcentral.